UUCACUUGAAUAAUAUUUUUAUCUUAUAAUUACUAACUUUUAUCAAUUUAAGCAUCAAAACAACUUCAAUUCUUGAUUUUAACCCAAAUUUUAAAGAUUUUACCUAUAAAGCUCAAAAUUGGUUUUUCUUUGAUUUGAACUCCAUUUUUUACUCGAUUUAACUUGGAUUUUCAUAUAUAGGUUCCUAAAAAUAUGGGAAACAUAUUUUUGAAGUAAAGUUUCAAUUUUGC
Molecule: long non-coding RNA, 230 nt
Filed under: Capsicum annuum
Lineage: Eukaryota; Viridiplantae; Streptophyta; Magnoliopsida; Solanales; Solanaceae
Description: long non-coding RNA (CANN_LNC004989)
Source: RNAcentral